GCUGCGGUGGUGGAAUUUGGUAGACACGCCAGCUUGAGGGGCUGGUGCCCGAAAGGGUGUGGAAGUUCAAGUCUUCUCCGCAGCA
RNAcentral lists this transfer RNA (85 nucleotides) under Spirochaetia bacterium. Its description in RNAcentral is "tRNA-Leu". It matches the Rfam family "tRNA". Rfam says of the family: Transfer RNA (tRNA) molecules are approximately 80 nucleotides in length. Their secondary structure includes four short double-helical elements and three loops (D, anti-codon, and T loops). Further hydrogen bonds mediate the characteristic L-shaped molecular structure. tRNAs have two regions of fundamental functional importance: the anti-codon, which is responsible for specific mRNA codon recognition, and the 3' end, to which the tRNAs corresponding amino acid is attached (by aminoacyl-tRNA synthetases). tRNAs cope with the degeneracy of the genetic code in two manners: having more than one tRNA (with a specific anti-codon) for a particular amino acid; and 'wobble' base-pairing, i.e. permitting non-standard base-pairing at the 3rd anti-codon position. The record is from RNAcentral. Lineage: Bacteria; Pseudomonadati; Spirochaetota; Spirochaetia. RNAcentral also lists the same sequence under 1 other name.